RNAcentral lists this ribosomal RNA (719 nucleotides) under Klebsiella aerogenes. RNAcentral describes it as "bacterial SSU rRNA". It matches the Rfam family "Bacterial small subunit ribosomal RNA", at positions 51 to 761 of the family's 1533-position model. Lineage: Bacteria; Pseudomonadati; Pseudomonadota; Gammaproteobacteria; Enterobacterales; Enterobacteriaceae. The record is from RNAcentral.
ACACAUGCAAGUCGAGCGGUAGCACAGAGAGCUUGCUCUCGGGUGACGAGCGGCGGACGGGUGAGUAAUGUCUGGGAAACUGCCUGAUGGAGGGGGAUAACUACUGGAAACGGUAGCUAAUACCGCAUAACGUCGCAAGACCAAAGUGGGGGACCUUCGGGCCUCAUGCCAUCAGAUGUGCCCAGAUGGGAUUAGCUAGUAGGUGGGGUAAUGGCUCACCUAGGCGACGAUCCCUAGCUGGUCUGAGAGGAUGACCAGCCACACUGGAACUGAGACACGGUCCAGACUCCUACGGGAGGCAGCAGUGGGGAAUAUUGCACAAUGGGCGCAAGCCUGAUGCAGCCAUGCCGCGUGUAUGAAGAAGGCCUUCGGGUUGUAAAGUACUUUCAGCGAGGAGGAAGGCAUUAAGGUUAAUAACCUUGGUGAUUGACGUUACUCGCAGAAGAAGCACCGGCUAACUCCGUGCCAGCAGCCGCGGUAAUACGGAGGGUGCAAGCGUUAAUCGGAAUUACUGGGCGUAAAGCGCACGCAGGCGGUCUGUCAAGUCGGAUGUGAAAUCCCCGGGCUCAACCUGGGAACUGCAUUCGAAACUGGCAGGCUAGAGUCUUGUAGAGGGGGGUAGAAUUCCAGGUGUAGCGGUGAAAUGCGUAGAGAUCUGGAGGAAUACCGGUGGCGAAGGCGGCCCCCUGGACAAAGACUGACGCUCAGGUGCGAAAGCG